CAGUAGCCACGGUAACACGUAGGGUGCAAGCGUUAAUCGGAAUUACUGGGCGUAAAGCGUGCGCAGGCGGUUAUAUAAGACAGAUGUGAAAUCCCCGGGCUCAACCUGGGAACUGCAUUUGUGACUGUAUAGCUAGAGUACGGCAGAGGGGGAUGGAAUUCCGCGUGUAGCAGUGAAAUGCGUAGAUAUGCGGAGGAACACCGAUGGCGAAGGCAAUCCCCUGGGCCUGUACUGACGCUCAUGCACGAAAGCGUGGGGAGCAAACAGGAUUAGAUACCCGAGUAGUCCCUGUCUUUAUACA
This 301-nucleotide ribosomal RNA is filed under the name uncultured bacterium. Its description in RNAcentral is "partial 16S ribosomal RNA". It matches the Rfam family "Bacterial small subunit ribosomal RNA", at positions 509 to 809 of the family's 1533-position model. The record is from RNAcentral.